RNAcentral lists this ribosomal RNA (255 nucleotides) under uncultured bacterium. Its description in RNAcentral is "partial 16S ribosomal RNA". It matches the Rfam family "Bacterial small subunit ribosomal RNA", at positions 524 to 776 of the family's 1533-position model. The record is from RNAcentral.
UACGGGGGGAGCAAGCGUUGUUCGGAUUUACUGGGCGUAAAGGGCGUGUAGGCGGCCACCGCAAGUCGACUGUGAAAUCUCCGGGCUUAACCCGGAAAGGUCAGCCGAUACUGCGGGGCUAGAGUGCAGAAGGGGCAACUGGAAUUCUCGGUGUAGCGGUGAAAUGCGUAGAUAUCGAGAGGAACACCUGCGGCGAAGGCGGGUUGCUGGGCUGACACGUGACGCUGAGGCGCGAAAGCUAGGGGAGCGAACGGG